AUGGAGAUGGUCUUAAAGAGCAAUGAUGACAGGGGGCACCGGGAAAUGAAGGCCUUAGUUCUGAAUCUUCUCAAGGAUAGCAGCCGUUGCACAGAUGGAACAUCAGAAUCUGUUCUGAAUUAUUUUACGGCUCGUGUCGAGGUUGCUUGGAAAGACUUCAGCCACUCUUUGUGGAAGCAUCUGAAGCCGGUUUUCUCGUGUCGAGGUUGCUUGGAAAGACUUCAGCCACUCUUUGUGGAAGCAUCUGAAGCCGGUUUUCCUUCCCAAGUUACAUGCCAAAUAACUCUGGAGACUGACAAUAUCCUCUGGUUGGUUGAGAUAUUGGUUAACCAAUGA
RNAcentral lists this ribosomal RNA (336 nucleotides) under Triticum aestivum (bread wheat). Its description in RNAcentral is "partial small subunit ribosomal RNA". Lineage: Eukaryota; Viridiplantae; Streptophyta; Magnoliopsida; Poales; Poaceae. The record is from RNAcentral.